RNAcentral lists this unclassified non-coding RNA (207 nucleotides) under fungal sp. Its description in RNAcentral is "partial internal transcribed spacer region". The stretch from base 1 to 46 matches the Rfam family "Eukaryotic small subunit ribosomal RNA", at positions 1786 to 1831 of the family's 1831-position model. The record is from RNAcentral. Lineage: Eukaryota; Fungi.
AAGUCGUAACAAGGUAACCGUAGGUGAACCUGCGGUUGGAUCACUAACAAAUACAAGGCGCCGGCCAAAAGCCGGUUUCCUUCAACACCUGUGCACUGUGAAUUGUCUCUGGUGGAUUACGUCCACCGAUCAUGAACCCUGAAAUACCUACGUCUUAAAUAAUUGUUUAACAAAAAACAACUUUUGACAACGGAUCUCUAGGCUCUC